This 41-nucleotide transfer RNA is filed under the name Pristiophorus nudipinnis. RNAcentral's name for it is "partial tRNA-Phe". The record is from RNAcentral. Lineage: Eukaryota; Metazoa; Chordata; Chondrichthyes; Pristiophoridae.
ACUGAAAAUGCUAAGAUGAGAUUUAAAAAUUUCCGCAAGCA